Molecule: ribosomal RNA, 1435 nt
Filed under: Boana lundii (Brazilian treefrog)
Lineage: Eukaryota; Metazoa; Chordata; Amphibia; Anura; Hylidae
Description: partial 16S ribosomal RNA
Rfam family: Bacterial large subunit ribosomal RNA
Source: RNAcentral
GCUAAAAACCUAGCCCCACUUACCCCCCCCCCCCCCCAUAAUAUUUUACUAAACAAAAUAAACCAUUUUUUUAAUCUAGUAAAGGCGAUAAAAAAAUUUACCGGAGCUACAUAAAUAGUACCGCAAGGGAAAGCUGAAAUAAAAUUGAAAUAAACGUUUAAGCCCAGAAAAGUAGAGACUUUACCUCGUACCUUUUGCAUCAUGGUUUAACUAGUCUAAAUCAAGCAAAAAGAAUUUAAGUUUGACCACCCGAAACUAAGUGAGCUACUUCAAGGCAGCUUAAUGAGCCAACCCGUCUCUGUUGCAAAAGAGUGGGAAGACCUUCAAAGUAGCGGUGACAGACCAAACGAACUUAGUGAUAGCUGGUUACCUGAUAAAAGAAUUUUAGUUCUGCCUAAAGCAAUAAAAAGAAAAAUUAAACUAAUUUUUCUGCUUUAGAGUUAUUCAAAUAAGGUACAGCCUAUUUGAACAAGGAUACAACCUAAGCUAAUGGGUUAACUAAUUUUAAUGUACCAAAGUGGGCCUAAAAGCAGCCACCUUUAAAAUAGCGUCAAAGCUUAUUAACACAACUUUCUCUUAAUCUCAUAAUACAACUUUAACCCUUUAUUAUAAUCAGGUAAUUCUAUACCACUAUAGAAUUUAUUAUGUUAAAACUAGUAACAAGAAGUAGACCCUUCUCUUUAAUGUCAGUAUAAGCCAGAAAGGAAAAACCACUGUCAAUUAACACCUGUGAUCCUAAACUAGCAACCCAACAAGAAAACCCUAUUUUAUAAAGUGUUAAACUAACACAAGAGCAUUGCAAGAAAGAUUUAAAGAAAAAGAAGGAACUCGGCAAAUAUUAACCCCGCCUGUUUACCAAAAACAUCGCCUCUUGAAAAAAUAUAAGAGGUCCAGCCUGCCCAGUGACCUAGUUCAACGGCCGCGGUAUCCUAACCGUGCGAAGGUAGCGUAAUCACUUGUUCUUUAAAUAAGGACUAGUAUGAAUGGCACCACGAGGGUUACACUGUCUCCUUUUUCUAAUCAGUGAAACUAAUCUCCCCGUGAAGAAGCUGGGAUUUUUUUAUAAGACGAGAAGACCCUAUGGAGCUUUAAACUAAUUAAUAUUUGCUGUCCACAUUUUACAUUUCAGAAACCUACAUAAAACAUAGCACUCUAAUUAAUAGUUUUCGAUUGGGGUGAUCACGGAGUAAAAAACAACCUCCGUGCCGAAAGGGGCCUAUUCCCCUGAGCAAAAAGCUACGACUUUAAGCACUAAAAAAAUUAACGUUUAUUGACCCAAUAUAUUGAUCAACGAACCAAGUUACCCUAGGGAUAACAGCGCAAUCCACUUCAAGAGCUCCUAUCGACAAGUGGGUUUACGACCUCGAUGUUGGAUCAGGGUGUCCCAGUGGUGCAGCCGCUACUAACGGUUCGUUUGUUCAACGAUUAAAACCCU